Hylaeus anthracinus is the source of this 552-nucleotide long non-coding RNA. RefSeq lists it as uncharacterized. NCBI's taxonomy places the organism in Eukaryota, Metazoa, Arthropoda, Insecta, Hymenoptera, Colletidae. The transcript has 2 exons. The record is from RefSeq and is a predicted model, not a curated record.
GUGGUAAAAAAAAGAGUCCAAUAGCAUCAACGUAGAACUAGCGUAGAACAACACAAAUCGGUUCAAAUCGUCGUUAGAAGGGCAAAGGGAGAUUUUGUAGAUUACUGGGCAAGGUCGAGGGAUUACAAAAGAAACUAAAAUGGUGCACACGAACAUCCCACAAUCCGUCAUAAAGGCACCCUACCAGGACGUCAGGAAGGGUAAGACUGGAGCCACGAUGUACGAUAAUCAGCAGAACUCGCCGAAGAAGGGCGACAAGUACAAUUCCUGGGGUCCGAUCUUCAAGAACAAGCAAAGCUUCAUCGACAUGCACAUUUGCUGACGCGUGGCUUCAAAGGGAACGCGACAUCCGGCGAUAUCGCGGUUUAAUGGUUGCAGGCGCCAUUCGUUUUGAAAAUAAUCGCGUAUCGAGGAUCCGAGAUCUUCUCUCGUGGCGAGAUUUAAAUUAGAAUGGCGUCUGUAAUACAAACUUGGUCUGUGGGGUAACUCGUGGUAAUUCAACAAUGUUAACAAAUAAGAUUUUCGUACGAAUAAAGAUGUGCACCAUUGCGA